Molecule: non-coding RNA, 322 nt
Organism: Paralichthys olivaceus (Japanese flounder)
Lineage: Eukaryota; Metazoa; Chordata; Actinopteri; Pleuronectiformes; Paralichthyidae
Source: RefSeq, a predicted model, not a curated record
GCAGGGUGUGGACUGCACCAUCCCGUGCUCCAGUGGUUCUUGGGGACUGAGCUGCAAUCAGACGUGUCAGUGUGCCAACGGGGCGGCCUGCGACCCCGCCAACGGCACCUGCACCUGCUCCUCGGGCUGGAGGGACGAGUACUGCGACGCACCGUGUCCGGAGGGCUCGUACGGGCUGGACUGCAGAGAGAGAUGCGACUGUGUCAACUCUGACGGGUGUGAUCCAGUGAGCGGCUUCUGUCGCUGUCUCACAGGAUGGACCGUCAAGUCGUCUUUUCACCACGAACGAUACGAAGAAACACUCAGAUCUGCUGGACACCAG